AUGAACGCUGGCGGCGUGCCUAAUACAUGCAAGUCGAGCGAACAGACGAGGAGCUUGCUCCUCUGACGUUAGCGGCGGACGGGUGAGUAACACGUGGAUAACCUACCUAUAAGACUGGGAUAACUUCGGGAAACCGGAGCUAAUACCGGAUAAUAUAUUGAACCGCAUGGUUCAAUAGUGAAAGACGGUUUUGCUGUCACUUAUAGAUGGAUCCGCGCCGCAUUAGCUAGUUGGUAAGGUAACGGCUUACCAAGGCAACGAUGCGUAGCCGAGCUGAGAGGGUGAUCGGCCACACUGGAACUGAGACACGGUCCAGACUCCUACGGGAGGCAGCAGUAGGGAAUCUUCCGCAAUGGGCGAAAGCCUGACGGAGCAACGCCGCGUGAGUGAUGAAGGUCUUCGGAUCGUAAAACUCUGUUAUUAGGGAAGAACAAAUGUGUAAGUAACUAUGCACGUCUUGACGGUACCUAAUCAGAAAGCCACGGCUAACUACGUG
This 496-nucleotide ribosomal RNA is filed under the name uncultured bacterium. RNAcentral's name for it is "partial 16S ribosomal RNA". It matches the Rfam family "Bacterial small subunit ribosomal RNA", at positions 29 to 507 of the family's 1533-position model. The record is from RNAcentral.